Molecule: ribosomal RNA, 484 nt
Filed under: uncultured bacterium
Lineage: Bacteria
Description: partial 16S ribosomal RNA
Rfam family: Bacterial small subunit ribosomal RNA
Source: RNAcentral
AUUGAACGCUGGCGGCAGGCCUAACACAUGCAAGUCGAGCGGAUGAAGGGAGCUUGCUCCUGGAUUCAGCGGCGGACGGGUGAGUAAUGCCUAGGAAUCUGCCUGGUAGUGGGGGAUAACGUCCGGAAACGGGCGCUAAUACCGCAUACGUCCUGAGGGAGAAAGUGGGGGAUCUUCGGACCUCACGCUAUCAGAUGAGCCUAGGUCGGAUUAGCUAGUUGGUGGGGUAAAGGCCUACCAAGGCGACGAUCCGUAACUGGUCUGAGAGGAUGAUAAGUCACACUGGAACUGAGACACGGUCCAGACUCCUACGGGAGGCAGCAGUGGGGAAUAUUGGCCAAUGGGCGAAAGCCUGAUCCAGCCAUGCCGCGUGUGUGAAGAAGGUCUUCGGAUUGUAAAGCACUUUAAGUUGGGAGGAAGGGCAGUAAGUUAAUACCUUGCUGUUUUGACGUUACCAACAGAAUAAGCACCGGCUAACUUCGUG